UACGUAGGGUGCAAGCGUUGUCCGGAAUUGUUGGGCGUAAAGAGCUCGUAGGCGGUUUGUCGCGUCUGCUGUGAAAACCCGAGGCUCAACCUCGGGCCUGCAGUGGGUACGGGCAGACUAGAGUGCGGUAGGGGAGAUUGGAAUUCCUGGUGUAGCGGUGGAAUGCGCAGAUAUCAGGAGGAACACCGGUGGCGAAGGCGGAUCUCUGGGCCAUUACUGACGCUGAGGAGCGAAAGCGUGGGGAGCGAACAGG
This 253-nucleotide ribosomal RNA is filed under the name uncultured bacterium. Its description in RNAcentral is "partial 16S ribosomal RNA". It matches the Rfam family "Bacterial small subunit ribosomal RNA", at positions 524 to 776 of the family's 1533-position model. The record is from RNAcentral.